CUUAGCCAGUGGGUGAGGGUGUGGGGGGCAGUGGGAGGCUGGGCCUGCAGAAUAGCCUAAAGCUUCCCACUGCCAGGUUUUAUCUGGUUCCUGCUUGGCCUUCUGCCCUCCCUGCCCCAUUUCCCCUGCCCCUGCCCAUCUCCCUGGGAGAACUUCUUUAAAACAUCCUCAUCUCAGGGACAGCUCCUAGGAAGCCCAACCUGAGAUAUCUGCUUUUGUAUUUUUCAACCACUUGUCAGUACUUGGCAUGAUGCCAUGUCCCUUUUAUUCUGCCUAGAAUACAAGCCCCACAGGGGCAGGGGCUUGAUCAAUUUUAUUCACUCAUGUAUUCCCAUGCCUGGAGCCAUGUCUGGCACAUAGUAGGUGACCAAAAGAUAUUUUGUUGAAGAAAUUUUCUCAGUUCUCACAAUGACCCUGUGAAGGAAAAGUUUAUCACCCCCAUUUUACAAAUGAGGUUGCAGUCUCAAAGAAGUUUAAUGACUUAUCUACAUUGACGCUGACCGUGUGUGGCACAGCCAGGAUUCUAAGCUCUGCCUGUGUGACUGCAAACCAAACUCAGCUUUGAAACCCAAUCCCAUGUUUUUAGUUUCCAGAACAUUCCAGGAUAUUUUGUACCUCCUCAGUGCUUCUGAAACUGCUUCUUUUACAAAGAUAUAUCCCUACUCACACUCUGAACUGACCACCACAGUGCCCUUUGAGCUCCUUGGCUCCCUGGACAGAUUCCUUAUGGUUCUUUCUCAUGUUUGUUUUCUCUUUCUCUUCCUUGAAGUAUGAGAGUAAGACUUAAUCUUAUUUAUCUCUGCUUCCCUAGCACUUAAUUUGGACCUGGUAGAAGUCAUCAAUCUGUGAAUGUUUAUUGCAUGAAAGAAAGGAAGGAAAGCAGGGAGGGAGAGAGAAAGGAAAGGAAGACAGGAGAGAGGGAGGGAGGAGAGGAAGAUGGAGGAAGAUGUUCUGCACUGGGGAAACAGAGAGGGUGACCUCCAUAUGGACAGGAAAGGCAGUGGGAGGUUGCUGUGGAAGCCAGGGGAGACUUCUUGUCGUUGGUGGUGUGGAGACAGCUCUGAUCAGUCACCCCUUUAACUUUGGGUCAUGUUCUGGAGCAGAAUGUAAUCUGGUACCCAGCAGCCAACCUGGUAGUCAGUGAGGGCUGAGUAAAUGUUGAAGGAAUGAAUGAUAAUGUGGCAUAAAGAAUAAGACUCAAUUUGGAGUCUGAUUAUAAGGUUCGAAUUUGGUGGCCCCUUGUCCAGCUUUUCCUCCUCUUCCCCAGCAGCUGUUUCGGUCCAAGCAUCAUGUGUCUCCCCAGAUAUCACCUCCCUGUGGCUGUGCUUGGACAAGUUUUCUGUAAAGGGAACCGCCACAUCUGUUCUCUUCUGGCUUCAGCAGCCUUGUUGUUUAGAUGGUAAACUCAGUCUCCAUGGAUCAGCACAGGAGGCUCUUCCUGAGUGUGCAGUGAUAAGAAGAUGGAUGUCCCCUGGGGCCAAAUUGCCUGAGCUUGAAUCCUACCUAGAUUACUCCCUAGCCAUUUGGCUUGGAGAAAGUCACUUAAUCUCUCUUUAACUAUGUUGUCUCACCUAUAAAGCGGGGAUCAUAACAGUAGUUACAUAAUUGGAACUUGUAAAGACUCAUUGAGUUAUUGCUUAGGACGUUCCCAGGUCUACACAUGCUGACCAGCAAAUGAGUGCCCCUGUUUUAGCUUUUUUUUUGCUGCUGUGACUGAAGAAUCUGACCAGAACAAUUUUAGAGAAGGAAAAGUUUAUUUGAGGGCUCAUAUUGCAAGGUGGCCAGUGCCCCACCAGUAAUUUUUCUUGCACAGGAAGGGAUAAGCCACCUGAGAAAAUAAAGUCUGAAAUAAUCAGAGAAGAAAUGAAAGACAAAGUCAGAAAAAUAGGUUUAAAUGCAGAGCGCUUGAUAGGUCCAGCCCACACAGGAGCUGGAGUUGAAAGUUAAAAAAAAUGGCUCCUCCUUUAUUUAAGAGAGAGCAUCAAAAGCAGGGAUAAGGUUUUAGAGGUGGAGUCUUACUUCAUGAUGUCUUGCAGUCAACAGGUUGAUCGGCAUCUUGGCAAGCCACACCCAUCUCUGAGAAGCUGUGUGGCUACAGCAGGUCACCCCAUCUCCAGUGCUGUGUGGGACCUGGCAGAGUUGAAGAGAACUUCACCUGUAUCUGGGAGGUCUUAACCAGUGGGAUUGCCACUGGAAGUUCCCAGAUACCAGAUUUUUCUAUUCACUUGCUACAAUGCCACACAGAGUUCACAGAUGGCUCUCAACAGGCUCAUGGUUUCAGAGGUCUUAGUCCAUAAAAAGCAGGCUCCAUUCCUCAGGGCUUGAGGUGAACAUCAUGGUGGGAGAGGGUGACAGAGGAAAGCAGCUCACCUGUUAGUGACCAGGAGGCAGAGAGAGAGAUUCCACUUGCCAAAUACAAAUAUAUAUACCAAAGCCAUGCCCCAAUUCCUACUUCCUCCAGCCACACCCUACCAUUUCAGUUAAUCCCAUCAGGGAUUCACUCACUGAUUAGGCUAAGGCUAUAACCCAAUCAUUUCUCUUCCAAACCUUCUUGCAUUGUCUCACAAUGGAAGCUUUCGGAGGACAUGUCACAUCCAAACCAUAACAGUCCCUCUAGCUGAUCCAUCACCAUUUCUGUACCACCCCCUCCACCACCUUUUGCCAUUCCAUGUCCCCUCAUGUCUGGGUAACUUUGUCCAUACUGUCUCUUCUUGGAAUAUACUCUCCCCCAUUCUUCUCCCUGGAAAGAUCUUAUUUUUCAUCUUUCAAGUCUCAGUUCAGAUGUUGCCUCUAUGUCUGUUCAAUCUGUCUGGACUCUCCCAGGAUGUCCUGAGGGCUCUCUCCUGUGAUGGCUGCAUUGUAAACUGAGGCAAUAAUCUUAUUGUGUUGCACUUGCCUGUUCAUUAGUCUGAGUGCCUUCAAGUUCCAGGCCUGCUCCCAAGCUAUUUAGCGUACCUCCCCUAAUACAAAUAGGUCCUGGUGAAGAUCCAAUUUUACCAAAAUUAAUCUAUAAAUUCAGUGACAUCCCAAUAAAAACUUAACAAGGGUUCUAAAUUUACAUUUUUAUAAGCUAAUCCUAAAAGUCAUCUAGAAGAAAAAAAUGGGGAAAAUAUACAGGCAAAUCUUGACACAGUAAGAACAACGAGAAGGGAAUAGCCUAUCUAUAAACAUUUACCAUAAAUUGAUCAAUAGAGUGCUACUGGUAUGAGAAUAGAUAACUUAAUCAAAGGAACGGGAGUAAGAAACAGAUCCAUGGAAAUCUAGUGUACCAUAAAGGAACAUUUUAAAUUAGUAAGAAAGGACGAACUGUUCAAACUGACUAACUGGUUUGAGGACAAUGGAGUUCCCACUUGGGAAAAAUUAAGUUAGAUGUUAUAUUGGUGAUGAUUUUGCUUCCUGAAAAGAGAAUUCAAUUGCUUCAACAACCAGCAACAAAUAAUUAGAAUUUGACAUUAAAAACACAACACCAUUUAUAUUAGUACCAGAAAGAAAGAGAAGGGUGCAGGGCACGAAAAGAUAAACAGGCAGGCUUACAUGUAAAUCUAACAAAAUAUGUAUAGGAUCAAUAUGAAGAAAACUAUAACACUCUGAUGAAGGGAAACUCUGAUAAAUAAAAUAUUCCAUGUUCAUGAACAGGAAAACUCAAUGUUAUUAGACAUCAGUUCUUCCCAAUUUAAUGUACAGACUCAACACACUCCCAAUCAAAAUCCCAACAAGUCAUUGUGUGGAUGUAAGCAAACUGAUUCUACAGUCUGUAUGGGAGGUCAAAAGACCUGGAAUAACCAACACAAUACAAAAGAACAAAAAUAUUCUUCAAUAGCUGGAUGGUCAAACAAACAGUGGUACAUAAGUAAAAUGGAAUAUUACUCACUGACAAAGAGAAUGGAGCUAUCAAGUCUCAAGAAAUCAUGGAGGAAAUAUAAGUAUGUGUUGCUAAGUGAAAGAAAUUAGUCUGAAAAGGCUAUAUGCUAUGUAAUUCCAACUAUAUUACAUUCUGGAAAGGGUAAAAUUGUAGAGACAGUAGAAUGAUAAAUGGUUUCUAGUGGUUCAUGGGGGGGAUGAAUAGAUAGAGUAUGGGGCAUAUUCUAUUCUGUAUGAUACUAUGAUGGUGGAUACAUGGAUGGCACCAUACAUUUUUUUUAAUACCCACAGAAUUGUACAACUCAGAGAAUGAAUCCUAAUGUAAACUAUGGACUUCAGUUAAUAAUAAUGUGUCAAUACUGGUUCAUCAAUUAUAACAAAUGUACCACAUGAAAGCAAGAUAUUAAUAGUAGAGGAAACUGUUGCAUGCAAGGUGAAUAGAUGAGAAUUCUGUACUUUCUCAUGUGAUUUUCUGUAAACCUAGUACUGUUCUAAUAAUGUCUACUAAAAUUUUGUAAAGUAAUUAAUAUACUUGGAGAAAAUUUGGAAGCAAAAGUAACCGACAAUAGUAGAUUAAUCAUACAUUCUGGGUUCCUCAGUUCCUUAAACUUCUAGUUUAAACUUGUCUUAAUGUUCCUUCUGGAUUAGUAUUUGUCAUUCUCAAAAGUGUAUUGGGUCAGAUGAUAAUUUAUUGGUCACCCUAGACAAAAGGUUAUUUUUGCUUAUAUAUAAGAAAUUCCUAUAAAGGAAUAAGAAAAAAAGAUAAUCCAGGAGAAAAGUAGGUAACAUAUUUGAAUAAGUUUCACUUUUAAUCUGUUUACAACCAUAUUUGAAGUGGGUUUCUCAUAGAAAGUACAUAGUUGAACUGUAGUUUAAAGAAAAAAAUCCAAUCCAGUUGGAAAACUAUACCUUUUAACUGGGAUGCUUAGACCAUAUAUAUUUAAUUUUUUAUUACAGUAUUUGAAAUAGCUAUAUUAGUAUCCAUACAGAGGAGAUUUCAGAGAAAGAAAUAUUUCCAAGGACAAACACUUCAUCAAGAGGACAUAAUAAUACCAAAUAUAUAUGUCCUAAAAAGAAAAUUUAAAAUACAUGAGGCAAAAGAGAACAGCAAGGAGAAAUAGACAAACUCAUAAUCAGUUUGAGAUAGUAAGUCCUCUUGUCCUUAUUUUAUAAUUUUCUAUUUUUUCUAUAUGAGAACUUCUUUUAUUUCUUAAAUGCUUACUCAAACUUAAGGUCCUUUUCAGAUUAAUUUAUAAUUUCUAGUUUCUCUGAUAUAAAUGAUCACAUUUGAUUUGUUAAUAAGAUGUCUAUCUUGGCAUUGAACUUCCCCAUCUGUUUUAUAAUUUUUGUCUGUGAGCUCAUCUUCAACAGGAGCUAUUUUUCAUGGGAGUUCUAUAAGUACUCUGAGUUAUUAAAGCCUCCUUAGGGAUAAUUUCACUAUGGUCUUCUAUUCUUUUUUCAGGGGGUGGGGAGGAGAGUAUUGGCUUUUUCUGACCCUCUGGUUACCAAUUUUUGCUUCAUUUCUGGUAGCUAAUUUUUUUUUAAAUCACCCCUCUUUUUUUCUUUCUCCUCCUUCUCCUUCUCCUUCUUUGUUUUUGAGCUUAGUUGUAUUUUAAAAUAAAAUUUUAAAAAGUUAUACAACAUCUUGCUGUUUGGAACAGGCUUGGGAAAUUUCUGCAUCUGAUUUGAUUUCGGUUUUGAUUAGAUGUCUUAAUAGGGCUCCCACAGCAAAAUCUUGAAGUCUUUCUGUUUCUUGUCCUUUGUCUUGGAAUUAUAGAAUUAUAAUAAAUUGGGGUUGUUUUUUU
RNAcentral lists this long non-coding RNA (5666 nucleotides) under Marmota monax (woodchuck). The record is from RNAcentral. Lineage: Eukaryota; Metazoa; Chordata; Mammalia; Rodentia; Sciuridae.